UCUUGUUUGUCGUGUAGACGCGUAUUCUUGGUUUUGCCGAGACCCAAUAACCAGAUCCACGACUUCCAUUGGAACCGACAAUUCUUGAUAAACUACUAUUUGCUGCUUCAACUUCAAACCGAAUUUCACCAUUUCAGUCUUCCGUGCUGCGUUGGAAAAAGUAGUUUACUAUAAGUCCAAGAUCAUCAUCCGCAUUUUGUAUGAUUGAUACAACCUGCAAAUACUAACCUUCGAAUGAUUUCUGCAUUCUUUCAAUUCUGGGACCAAGUGAAUUUCUUCAAUGAAAAUAUGCACGACAUGUAUUGAAAGAAACACAUAAAAGGCUCAGCUGAUACCAGGAGGAAAUCCAAGAAAUGUAACUGCGGUUCCACUGUUCAUUUCAUAAAGAUAUACUACAAGCAGUCAAAUAAAAUGAUUGGUGCUAUGCCCGCUGUGGCAGUUCGCCACGAAAGAAGAAAAGGGCAGGAAAAACGCUCGAAACGUCCAAGCCAACUCUACAUUGGGGGUCACUGGCUACCUCCAAACAGUCCAAGUCCAACUCCCAGUCCAGGUAUCAACGAAGAUGGUAACGAGAGGUUACCGGAACUA
RNAcentral lists this unclassified non-coding RNA (588 nucleotides) under Leptinotarsa decemlineata (Colorado potato beetle). RNAcentral's name for it is "uncharacterized LOC111506965, transcript variant X1". Lineage: Eukaryota; Metazoa; Arthropoda; Insecta; Coleoptera; Chrysomelidae. The record is from RNAcentral.